AUAUUUACAGGUCCCACCACGUUAAAGGCACAGUCUGCAACAUUUAAAUGUAGAAUAACUUUAAAAAUGUUUGAUUUUGACCAUCUGACCCAAUUUUAUUAAAAAAAGUAAAUAAUCUUUAAUAUUUCAAUUUUCUCCUAAGUCCCUCCCCUGCCCUGUAGAGCUCAGCCAAUAUUUCUGCAAGCCUAACGCGUUGACCAAUAGCACUGCGUUUCCACCAGGGGGCAGCUGUCAAUCAUCGAGCACGAGCAAGUCUCAGCGUGCACAACAGUGUCACGCGCCUCACUCGGCUUACUGCAGAAACAUGGAGCAACAAAACCCCAAAUUACUGAUUCCUCGACUGCCUUCCACAUCUCAAAAACAUUUAAAAAGUUUAAAAGCCCUUCUUCAAAAGUGGCUGUAAGACGUUUAAGACAGUCGAGUAGAAUUUACAUUGGAGAUUGUUUUACACACGAUGGAGAGAUUUUCGUGAUCUACACGGCCUGAAAACGGAUGAAGAGUUGGCAAAGUAUCUUUUAGACAGUCAUCAGUCCAAAUAUGAAGCAUCAACAUUACACCAUUGAAGCGCCAGCUGUGUAUUUCUCCAACACCAGUGCCAGCUCUGUCUAGCAUUCAUGGAGAAUCAUCUGAAAGGGAUGAUAAUUUGGAGGAGGUGAUGGAACAAGGUGAAACUAAAAAUGAAGGAUCUUCACAAAUGUUAUCUUGUGUGGGAAUUGAAGCAAACAUUGACGAGGAAGAGUUCAACAAUAUUCAAAACUCUGUGAUAGAGUCAUCAGAUGACACAUGGUCACCAAACAGAGAACCAGAAGUUGAUUCGUCUUCAGAGGAGGACGAAACCAUCGAGAUGGACAGCGGUACUGAUGACAGCGGUGAUGAGGACUACACACCUUAUAUACACAUAAGGUAAUUCUUUUCGUUUAACAUUCUAUAAAACUGCAAUAGCGCAUAGUUAAUAAAAAGCUUUUGU
Nothobranchius furzeri (turquoise killifish) is the source of this 967-nucleotide non-coding RNA. The record is from RefSeq and is a predicted model, not a curated record. NCBI's taxonomy places the organism in Eukaryota, Metazoa, Chordata, Actinopteri, Cyprinodontiformes, Nothobranchiidae.